Molecule: non-coding RNA, 144 nt
Organism: Saimiri boliviensis boliviensis (Bolivian squirrel monkey)
Lineage: Eukaryota; Metazoa; Chordata; Mammalia; Primates; Cebidae
Source: RefSeq, a predicted model, not a curated record
AGCUUUGCGCAGUGGCAGUAUCGUAGCCAAUGAGAUUUAUCUGAGGCGUGAUUAUUGCUAAUUGAGAAAAUAAAGAAUACGAGAGAAAAAAAUAUAUUGUAUUUGCUUGUGAAGUUAACUGGAAAUUGAGAAUUUCUUCGGUAA